This 477-nucleotide ribosomal RNA is filed under the name Pseudomonas sp. NN018600. Its description in RNAcentral is "bacterial SSU rRNA". It matches the Rfam family "Bacterial small subunit ribosomal RNA", at positions 30 to 498 of the family's 1533-position model. Lineage: Bacteria; Pseudomonadati; Pseudomonadota; Gammaproteobacteria; Pseudomonadales; Pseudomonadaceae. The record is from RNAcentral.
AUUGAACGCUGGCGGCAGGCCUAACACAUGCAAGUCGAGCGGCAGCACGGGUACUUGUACCUGGUGGCGAGCGGCGGACGGGUGAGUAAUGCCUAGGAAUCUGCCUGGUAGUGGGGGAUAACGCUCGGAAACGGACGCUAAUACCGCAUACGUCCUACGGGAGAAAGCAGGGGACCUUCGGGCCUUGCGCUAUCAGAUGAGCCUAGGUCGGAUUAGCUAGUUGGUGAGGUAAUGGCUCACCAAGGCGACGAUCCGUAACUGGUCUGAGAGGAUGAUCAGUCACACUGGAACUGAGACACGGUCCAGACUCCUACGGGAGGCAGCAGUGGGGAAUAUUGGACAAUGGGCGAAAGCCUGAUCCAGCCAUGCCGCGUGUGUGAAGAAGGUCUUCGGAUUGUAAAGCACUUUAAGUUGGGAGGAAGGGCAUUUACCUAAUACGUAAGUGUUUUGACGUUACCGACAGAAUAAGCACCGGCU